This is a long non-coding RNA of Gallus gallus (chicken), 1864 nucleotides long. RefSeq lists it as uncharacterized. The record is from RefSeq and is a predicted model, not a curated record. The transcript has 5 exons. Lineage: Eukaryota; Metazoa; Chordata; Aves; Galliformes; Phasianidae.
GUGUUUCCUGAGGGUUACCAUGGCAGGAGCUCUGCAGAAGUCCCGGUCUCCCAGUGCACCAAGGAUCUCCUGUGCAGUGAUGGAUCUCAAGUCACCUUUUCAAAGGCAAUAAGGACUUCUCAUACUAAAACAGAAGAUUAAGCUCUUCCAGAACUAACUGGAAUACAUCUGAAUUCUUCAAAAAUAUGCUCUUGAGACACUAAAUCAUUUGCAAGUAUCUGAAUAGUUUAAACACUGAAAUAAUUUCUUCAGAUUCAUAUGAGCAGAAAAUUGAAAAAGGAUUAGAGAACAGUUUUCCUAUUCAAACAUCUGAUGAUUAUAUGAAAUCAUUACAAAUGUUCAAAUUAAAGCAUAAUGAAGCAGGACAUGGCAGAACGAACAGGGAGAUGCUGAUGAGGAUCUAAGAAUUCUCUUCUUCUGGUAACGCGAUGUCUGCACUGUAAAGCACUGCUGCACUGGCUUAGGCAGAGAAAGGUGUUUGAAAGCAGACUGCUUGGACUAGGGAAAAGUGAACUGCUUUCAGAAAACAGAAGAGAGCAAAUAGAGCCAGUGUUGCUAGGCAGAGACUAUCAAAGGAGCAGAGAAUGAUGCAGCUUCCUAUCACAAAUAAAUAAGGUAGCAAGAAGAUAUCCCCAUCUGAAGAUGAGUCGUUCUAGCAAGAAACUCUGGAACAAUGGCUUGCUCAGUGAGGGUCCCUUCUUUUGCUAGGACAUCUCCUUGGAAUGGCAGCUGUGGCUGAACUGCCAAAGCUGACUGACAGCCGGUACCCAGCCUUGAACCAAAACAACUGCUUCCAGGAAAAGCAUCCUGUUCUAAGAAAUCACAUUCCAAAUCUCAUGAAGAAUUGUGUGUGAGAAUCUCACACUGAGGCAUAUGACGUUUUUUGGCGUUACCAGUUUGUUUUCUGCAGUUCAAGAUGUCCAAAAUCUUCCAUUUUAUGGAAUCAUUCUUCUGCUGUAUUUGUGGAGGAAAGGAUUUUUGCAGGAUGUGUGACAAGGACUUUGCUACUCCACUGGAUCAGAGGAAUCUGUCCUAGAGCUGUCUUUGAAUAGUUUGCUUGUCUGCAUUCACCAUCUAUCUUUCAACAAUCAGCAGAAAAGAAAAGAAGCCGAGUAAUGCUGCUGGUUAGAAGUUUUCUUCACUGUUCACUGAAAAUGAGCACAUAGUCUGAAGCCAGCAGAGGGGUCUGAGGAGAGUGAAUACAGUCUGCAAAAUAGUAGAUUCAAAAAAAAAAAAAAGGGGGGGGGGGGGACAGCAUAAUUUUUAUAGCCCUGAGAAGUAAUUUAAUAAAGGUAUUGUAUGUCUUGCAUGUCUUUUGUUUUUCUUUCAAUGAAGCUUCCCCAAAUAGUUCACAAAUAGUUUCUUUAGCAGGGGAAUUUGACACUAUUGUUCGAUACAGUGAUGUGCCCACAACACUGGGAAGUAAUGUUUUUCUACAAGGAAGGGAUUUUUUUGCAUGGCUGUGCUUUCACUUUUUGAUGUGAGUGAGGUGAUCUAUACCCAGGUCAAUGCUUUGGAAUGCUUUUUAAAAAUGUUUAAAGAAAAAAAAAAAAAGAAAAAGAAACAAAACCCCAUCUUCUAGAUUUCCUAUAUAGUAGAUCCCUUUUACUCCUUUGCAGAAUGCCAGGAACCUAAACAAAAGCCUGUCUAUAAACAGAGCUAUCAAGCCAAAAAGGGCCCUGCUGAGCUUUUAUUCACCUGUUCUGUUUUUCUAUAGUCCUUCAUGAGAGCCAUAUUUCUGAGUUCUGUCAUUCAUAUACUUUAUGGAAAUGGCUACCUGGUUAUGGGCAUGCUGAAUGCCUGCAGAACAGUGAAGAAUGAUCAUUUUAAAGACAUUUGUAAAAGCAAUAUUAAGCUUGGUGUU